RNAcentral lists this ribosomal RNA (377 nucleotides) under uncultured bacterium. Its description in RNAcentral is "bacterial SSU rRNA". It matches the Rfam family "Bacterial small subunit ribosomal RNA", at positions 523 to 898 of the family's 1533-position model. The record is from RNAcentral.
AUACGUAGGGUGCGAGCGUUAAUCGGAAUUACUGGGCGUAAAGCGUGCGCAGGCGGUUUUGUAAGUCGGAUGUGAAAUCCCCGGGCUCAACCUGGGAACUGCGUUCGAAACUGCAAGGCUAGAGUGUGUCAGAGGGGGGUAGAAUUCCACGUGUAGCAGUGAAAUGCGUAGAGAUGUGGAGGAAUACCAAUGGCGAAGGCAGCCCCCUGGGAUAACACUGACGCUCAUGCACGAAAGCGUGGGGAGCAAACAGGAUUAGAUACCCUGGUAGUCCACGCCCUAAACGAUGUCAACUAGUUGUUGGUAGAGUAAAAUCUAUGAGUAACGUAGCUAACGCGUGAAGUUGACCGCCUGGGGAGUACGGUCGCAAGAUUAAA